CACCGCAACCUCACACCGCCGACCACCAAGUAUUCAAGUACAUGACUUUCCGGCCACAUGUUGCCUGAAUUCCUACCGGAGAAAUAAUGUGUUAUAAUUAGAAGGGUAUUCUUGACAGAAUGACAGAAUCGGUUGAUUGCCUAGUAUCUAAACCAGCCAGCGAGCUUUCUUUUGAUUCAAGCUGUCCUUGGAUUAGUGAUAAGAAGUCUGAGCCAUGGUGGCGCACUGCAGAUACAGAGGAACUUGCUUUCUUGGUUGCACAAAGAUCUCAUGAUCUUAUUGAGAAUUGUGAUCUUCCCCAACCACAGACCACUAGCGCAAAAGGGGACCCGUGUGUUCGUCUGGGCUGGGUUGAUCAUAAACGAGCUAAUGCUUUGUUUCUAGAUCCUAAAGCCCGCUCUUCUGGACAGAAAAAUACAAAUACCCAGGCACAAAGAAACACUCUCUCGAAAAGUAGGUAUCAAAAACAGUGGGAAGAGCAUUUGCAGCUUGGUACCAACAAGCCAUUGAGUUAUUGCCCCUAUAAAAUUUUCUACUUUCCGAUUCUUUUCCAUAACAGCAUGAGACAAUUCUUCAACACUGCUAUUUGACCUCUACAAAGCAGCAAAUAGAUAUUGGCACUGGAGAAGAAGAAUGCGAGAUGAAGGCAGUGACGAGAAGGAGAAACGGAAAAGAACCGAAGAGCCAGGAAGAAAGGGGAAAGAAAAAUGAAAAUAAAAUAGGGAAAUAAAUUAAAUUUGAAAGAACAAGAAUACCCUUCUAAUUAUAACCCAUUAUUUCUCCUGUAGGAAUUCAGGUAACAUGUGGCCGGAAAGUUAGAUAGGGGGACCAAAUGUGAUACUUAUUUGAAAGUCAUGCACCUAAUUAGAAAAAUCCAAUAGUCAAGGACUAAAUUUGAUUCAGGUAUAAUAGUCAAGGGACCAAAAGUGAUAUUUACUCUAUAUUCUUUAGAUAUAUUAGUUAAGUUAUAUGCUUUAGAUCUACCUUUCUAGUAUUCCUGGGAUGUUGGUAAUGUUUCAGAUUGUAUGUUUUUCCAAUCUCUGAAUUUCUACAUUUAGAUUCAUAUAAGAUAGAAUAGAUGGUGUUUUUGUAGAUUGAGUGCGAAUUGAAUCCCUAAAUUGAGAGAAACUGUGUGGCCAGACCUGGAAGUGACUUUGUGUGGGACCCUGGGGGCUGAAUUGGAGCUCCUUAACUUUGUGUUCUUUUUUGCAGGGAGCUGGUGUGUAAGGAGGACUGGGCAGAAGCUGAUUGCAACAAGGGAGCUGUGGAAUUAUGAGGAUUGCAUUGGUAGAAAGCUAUGAUGCUCUGCAGUGUGGCUGAGCUUGGUUUAGAAUUCAUUGUUUUUAAAAUGUUUUGUAGUUGUGCAUAUUGAGCAGUAGAUUGAAUGAGCUGGGGCUGGGGGUUGCUGCAUGGGUAUGUUCUAUUUGCAUAAGCCUGUGAUCUCCCUUUGCCUGAUUAAUUGUGUGCAUGAUGAUGGUGUGAUUAGGGCUGAGUAAUAUGUGAAUCUUGCAUAGCAUAUACACUGUGGUGGGAGUGUUCAAGUGGAUUGAUUUGAUGGUAAAUUGAAUUGAAAAUGAUGGAUUUAAUGGUGAAUGAAGGAGGACUGAUACGGCAUGAAAAAAAAAAGGGAGAAAGCAGCAAAACAGAAAAAAAGAAAGCAGAAAAAAGAAAGAGAAGAUGGGGCAAAAUAGAUUUGGAGAAAAAAAAUUAUGUGUACUACAUGACAUUUUAAGAAAGAAAGAAAGAUAAAAACUAAUUUGGUUGGAUCUUGUAUUCAUCUAAUUUGUUUAUUGUCCGUGUUUAAAACUUUAGUAAGUUGAUAUUUGCAGAAAUUCAUGAUGUUUUUUUAUUCGACGAGAUUAGCCUUUUAAUCCCUUAGUAGUAAUAACACUGUUUGCAUAAACUUUAGUAAGUUGAUAUUGGCAAACAAAUGCCUUCUGUAUUCCUGCACUGGAAAAAAUUGAUACAGACAACAAUGUCAUUCAAGGUCACCAAACUGAAUGAUGUAUGACCUGAAUGAUGUGACGUCCUACAAGGGCACUGCCUUCUGGAUGGCUACUCAGUAGACAUUGAUGGUGAUAUUGCUAAUUUCAUUCUUUUGUAACAUUCAAUUAUUUUUAAUUUGAAUUGUAAAUCUGUAAUUUCAUUCUUUUCUUUUUGUAGCUUUCAAUUAUUUUUAAUUUGGAACUGUAAAUUUGUAAUUUCAUUGAUUAUUUUUUAGUUUUAGAAUAAAGUACUAUAAUUUUUGG
Long non-coding RNA from Ipomoea triloba (trilobed morning glory), 2249 nucleotides. RefSeq lists it as uncharacterized. The transcript has 3 exons. Lineage: Eukaryota; Viridiplantae; Streptophyta; Magnoliopsida; Solanales; Convolvulaceae. The record is from RefSeq and is a predicted model, not a curated record.